This 429-nucleotide ribosomal RNA is filed under the name Acidobacteriota bacterium. Its description in RNAcentral is "Acidobacteria bacterium partial 16S ribosomal RNA". It matches the Rfam family "Bacterial small subunit ribosomal RNA", at positions 355 to 776 of the family's 1533-position model. The record is from RNAcentral. Lineage: Bacteria; Pseudomonadati; Acidobacteriota.
UGGGGAAUUUUGGACAAUGGGGGAAACCCUGAUCUAGCCAUCCCGCGUGUGCGAUGAAGGCCUUCGGGUUGUAAAGCACUUUUGGCAGGAAAGAAACGUCAUGGGUUAAUACCCCGUGAAACUGACGGUACCUGCAGAAUAAGCACCGGCUAACUACGUGCCAGCAGCCGCGGUAAUACGUAGGGUGCAAGCGUUAAUCGGAAUUACUGGGCGUAAAGCGUGCGCAGGCGGUUCGGAAAGAAAGAUGUGAAAUCCCAGAGCUCAACUUUGGAACUGCAUUUUUAACUACCGGGCUAGAGUGUGUCAGAGGGAGGUGGAAUUCCGCGUGUAGCAGUGAAAUGCGUAGAUAUGCGGAGGAACACCGAUGGCGAAGGCAGCCUCCUGGGAUAACACUGACGCUCAUGCACGAAAGCGUGGAGAGCAAACAGG